RNAcentral lists this ribosomal RNA (497 nucleotides) under uncultured bacterium. RNAcentral describes it as "partial 16S ribosomal RNA". It matches the Rfam family "Bacterial small subunit ribosomal RNA", at positions 28 to 507 of the family's 1533-position model. The record is from RNAcentral.
GAUGAACGCUGGCGGCGUGCCUAAUACAUGCAAGUCGAGCGAACAGACGAGGAGCUUGCUCCUCUGACGUUAGCGGCGGACGGGUGAGUAACACGUGGAUAACCUACCUAUAAGACUGGGAUAACUUCGGGAAACCGGAGCUAAUACCGGAUAAUAUAUUGAACCGCAUGGUUCAAUAGUGAAAGACGGUUUUGCUGUCACUCAUAGAUGGAUCCGCGCCGCAUUAGCUAGUUGGUAAGGUAACGGCUUACCAAGGCAACGAUGCGUAGCCGACCUGAGAGGGUGAUCGGCCACACCGGAACUGAGACACGGUCCAGACUCCUACGGGAGGCAGCAGUAGGGAAUCUUCCGCAAUGGGCGAAAGCCUGACGGAGCAACGCCGCGUGAGUGAUGAAGGUCUUCGGAUCGUAAAACUCUGUUAUUAGGGAAGAACAAAUGUGUAAGUAACUAUGCACGUCUUGACGGUACCUAAUCAGAAAGUCACGGCUAACUACGUG